This 480-nucleotide ribosomal RNA is filed under the name uncultured bacterium. RNAcentral describes it as "partial 16S ribosomal RNA". It matches the Rfam family "Bacterial small subunit ribosomal RNA", at positions 28 to 523 of the family's 1533-position model. The record is from RNAcentral.
GACGAACGCUGGCGGCGUGCCUAACACAUGCAAGUCGAGCGAGUGAAUCUCCUUCGGGAGUGAAACUAGCGGCGGACGGGUGAGUAACACGUGGGCAACCUGCCUCAUAGAGGGGAAUAGCCUUUCGAAAGGAAGAUUAAUACCGCAUAAGAUUGUAGCUUCGCAUGAAGUAGCAAUUAAAGGAGUAAUCCGCUAUGAGAUGGGCCCGCGGCGCAUUAGCUAGUUGGUGAGGUAACGGCUCACCAAGGCGACGAUGCGUAGCCGACCUGAGAGGGUGAUCGGCCACAUGGGGACUGAGACACGGCCCAGACUCCUACGGGAGGCAGCAGUGGGGAAUAUUGCACAAUGGGGGAAACCCUGAUGCAGCAACGACGCGUGAGUGAUGACGGCCUUCGGGUUGUAAAACUCUGUCUUCAGGGACGAUAAUGACGGUACCUGAGGAGGAAGCCACGGCUAACUACGUGCCAGCAGCCGCGGUAA